Molecule: long non-coding RNA, 589 nt
Filed under: Lepisosteus oculatus (spotted gar)
Lineage: Eukaryota; Metazoa; Chordata; Actinopteri; Semionotiformes; Lepisosteidae
Description: lncRNA (ENSLOCG00000022586.1)
Source: RNAcentral
GGAGUCUGUGGCGCUUGAUCCAGGAGGCCCACAGCCCUGUGGGCUUUUCUUAGAUAGUAAAAAAAACUUACAUAGUCAAAGAGUGGGGAGACCUGGAAAAUGUGCCCCAAUUAAGCAAGUAAUGGGUCCUGUUGUGUCUUUGAGGGCUCAGCUGGAAGGAAGAGCAGAGGAGCGCGGGGUCAGAGGCUCCAGAUCCCUGGUGUCGGCCCUCUCCCUUCUGCAGCCCUGUGUCAGUACAGACCCCACUCCCUCCCCCUCACUGUGAGAGUGAGUGCCUGUGCACUUUCCCAGGGAGAGCUCCGACCGGAUCCUUCCUUUGUCAGGUUCACCAGCGGCAGGAGUGUGGAGGGUGACGCAUGCCCUGGCCGGCCUGGACUGCGCACAGCUGGUUCAUUACGGCGUGCUCCUGGAAAUACCUUGGAUCAAGAAACCCUCAGCAAAGCCCAGCAUCACAAAUCACAAAUCAGAACUCUAGCAGCAGGCUAAUUCCCUGUCUUUAACAGAGGAAUGGGCACAGUGCUUGGCUGUCCGGCAGGAAAUAAUGAGAAAAUCUGAAGAAAACAGAAAAUGUAAAAAUAGAUAAAUAGAA